GAGUCUCGGAGCUGGUCUGUGGGAUGACGAUGCUGCGGUCCAGAUCUGGUGUUCUUGUUCCACGCGGUCCAAACACAUUCAGGGCACAGGCACGCUUCCCGUGUUAAACUUGCUGUAGAAAUUUUCAUCGACCUGAUCGAGGCUCACUCCUUUAACCGUAGAGAACUGAUCGAUGUCCAGGACGUCCGCGCAGUAAACGGCUCUCGGCUGGUGGAGAGAAUAACAUCACAGGAUUGUUUUCAGUUUCACCUGUACAGGUGAGCCAACAGGUGAAGACUCAGAUGUGUCACCGGCAGA
Sinocyclocheilus anshuiensis is the source of this 297-nucleotide long non-coding RNA. RefSeq lists it as uncharacterized. Lineage: Eukaryota; Metazoa; Chordata; Actinopteri; Cypriniformes; Cyprinidae. The transcript is spliced from 3 exons. The record is from RefSeq and is a predicted model, not a curated record.